RNAcentral lists this ribosomal RNA (777 nucleotides) under uncultured Neocallimastigales. RNAcentral's name for it is "partial large subunit ribosomal RNA". It matches the Rfam family "Eukaryotic large subunit ribosomal RNA", at positions 22 to 621 of the family's 3401-position model. Lineage: Eukaryota; Fungi; Neocallimastigomycota; Neocallimastigomycetes; Neocallimastigales. The record is from RNAcentral.
CAUAUCAGUCAUGCAUAGCAUAUCAAUAAGCGGAGGAAAAGAAACUAACAAGGAUUCCCUUAGUAACGGCGAGUGAAGCGGGAAGAGCUCAAAUUUGAAAUCUUCAAGGUUUUACCUUGACGAAUUGCUAGUUUAAAGAAGUGUUUUCUGUUGAAGUUUUGGUAAAAGUUCUUUGGAGUAGGACAUCAUAGAGGGUGAGAAUCCCGUAUUUGACCAUUACUUUCAGCUUUGUGAUACACUUUCAAAGAGUCGGAUUGUUUGGGAAUGCAGUCCAAAAUGGGUGGUAAAUUUCAUCUAAAGCUAAAUAUUGGCGAGAGACCGAUAGCGAACAAGUACCGUGAGGGAAAGAUGAAAAGAACUUUGAAAAGAGAGUUAAACAGUACGUGAAAUUGUCAAAAGGGAAGCGUUUGACACCAGUGUUGUUUUCUCGAAAAUCAAUUAAAAAGAGUUGGAUUUUGUGUUGUAUUGACUUUAUCAGGCUUUCUUCACUCUUUUCCAGCUUUUUUUAAUGCACUUUUCGUUUAACAAGUCAACAUCAGUUUCUUUUGUUGUAAAAAGGUCAUUGGAAGGUGGCUUUCUCUUCGGAGAAAGUGUUUAUAGCCUCUGACUCAUGCAAUCGGAGAGACUGAGGUCUGCAGCGUAGAUCCUUCGGGGUUAGAUACAUUUGUGCUAAGUUAUAGCUUUUCAUAGACAACUUGUUGACUAUGUUUAGUCUUGUAGCUUACUCGCUUAUGCUAUUUUACCUACGCUUAGGAUGUUGAACUCUAUCACACACAG